UGGACUUCAGCAAUGCCAUGGUCAGAGUC
This 29-nucleotide small RNA is filed under the name Bombyx mori (domestic silkworm). RNAcentral's name for it is "ovarian small RNA-34597". The record is from RNAcentral. Lineage: Eukaryota; Metazoa; Arthropoda; Insecta; Lepidoptera; Bombycidae.